UUUAAAAAAAAAUUAAAAACGACGGGCAAUAUGUACAUAUUAUUUUUAAAAAUUCAAUAAUAAUAUUUAUAAUAAUAUUUAUUAUUAAAUCCAAUUUUAAUUUAUUAUUACAAAUAAACAUCCAUUAUUUUUUAUAAAAUAGUAUUUCAUUUUAAUUUUAAUUAUAAAAUAUAUUAUGAUUUGAAUUUUUUUUUAUUUUAAAAAAAAAUAUUAAUAAUAUUAUUAUAACAAUUAUUUAAACAACAAUAUAUAAUUUAUUUUAAAUUAAAUAUAUUUUAUUGUGUAUUAUCAAAUUAAUAAACAAAAUCCUCUAAUUUUAAAUAAUACUGCCAUAUAAUUUAAUUUUUUAAAUUAAUAUAAUAAUUAAAUUAAUUUUAUCAUAUAAUA
Molecule: ribosomal RNA, 387 nt
Filed under: Schizomyia patriniae
Lineage: Eukaryota; Metazoa; Arthropoda; Insecta; Diptera; Cecidomyiidae
Description: partial 12S ribosomal RNA
Source: RNAcentral